GUCUAUAGCCAUGCUACCCUGAACAAGCUCGAUCCUGUCUGAUCUCAGAAGCUAAGCAGGGUUGGGCCUGAUUAGUACUUGGAUGGGAGACCACCUUGAAAGACCAGGUGCUGUAAGCG
This 119-nucleotide ribosomal RNA is filed under the name Pteropus alecto (black flying fox). Lineage: Eukaryota; Metazoa; Chordata; Mammalia; Chiroptera; Pteropodidae. The record is from RNAcentral.